CUUGUUUCAAAGAUUAAGCCAUCCAUGUUUAAGUCCAAACUAUAUUAUAGUGAAACCGCAAAAGGCUCAGUACAACAGCUAUUAUUUAUUUGAUCAUAAACAUAGUUACUUGGAUAACUGUGGUAAUUCCAGAGCUAAUACAUGCAAACAACAUGAAUCCCUGUAGCAAUACGGGUAAAACAUGUGCUUUUAUUAGAUUAAAACCAUGUCCAUUUAACGAUGGAUUGUUUUAGAUGAAUCUGGAUAAUUAUGGCUGAUCGUAUGGUCUUGCACCGACGAUAGAUCAUUCAAAUGUCUGCCCUAUCAACUAUUGAUGGUAGUAUAGAGGACUACCAUGGUUGCAACGGGUAACGGGGAAUCAGGGUUCCAUUCCGGAAAAGGAACCUGAAAAACGGCUACCACA
This 403-nucleotide ribosomal RNA is filed under the name Sergentomyia standfasti. RNAcentral describes it as "SSU rRNA". It matches the Rfam family "Eukaryotic small subunit ribosomal RNA", at positions 31 to 414 of the family's 1831-position model. The record is from RNAcentral. Lineage: Eukaryota; Metazoa; Arthropoda; Insecta; Diptera; Psychodidae.